RNAcentral lists this ribosomal RNA (120 nucleotides) under Gallus gallus (chicken). The record is from RNAcentral. Lineage: Eukaryota; Metazoa; Chordata; Aves; Galliformes; Phasianidae.
GCCUACGGCCAUCCCACCCUGGUAACGCCCGAUCUCGUCUGAUCUCGGAAGCUAAGCAGGGUCGGGCCUGGUUAGUACUUGGAUGGGAAGACCUCCUGGGAAUACCGGGUGCUGUAGGCU